UGCACAGAGGGGCAGAUCCCGCUUGGGGUGGGAACUUCAAAAAGUACAAGAGUGAGCGUCAAGAGAGAGCGAGAGGAUGACGGAGCAGGCGUCGGGAAAGUAUCUGUGCGUCCGCCCCAAUGCAGGCAACGUUGUUCUUCUAUUGUCUUGAAUAGAAAGCCGACAGGGUGGAUAUGACUAUGAGUUAAAAAAAGACCACUGAAAUAGUAGCUUUCUGCUUAGCAUUAACUGGUCAUCCAUGCGCACGGCGUCGACAGUUUUACGAUUGCCGGCUUUUGUUUAUUUGCGUCCGAAUGAGGGGCUGUAUACAGGUUUUCAUGCUAACUAGUCUCUUAGCUGUAAUAUCAUUGGCUGCUUCACAUAGCUUAGCAUUUUCACCUGUUUUAAAUGGUUUAGUAACCCUGACAGUUACGCAGCUAUUUAGUAAACCACCGCCGUGAAAUUAACGCUUUUGUCCAUAUAGAAACGCACUUCCCACCUUCACAAUUAAGGGUACCUUUAACGCUAUGAGUUAAUUUAACCCUGACGAUGUUACUAAUCAUUCUUUGUAUUUGUAUGGCACCUUUGCCAUGCUCAAAGCGCAGAAAUUCAAAAUGAACAAUACGGUAUAGACAAAAUUGAAUACAAAUAAUAGCUGCGUAAAACACUAAAUGAUGAUAAAGGAAACAUGAAGCUUUGCGUUAGAACAGGAGACAAUAAACCAAAAUAAAAAUGCAAAAAAAUACUACAAGAAAACACUAAAGAUAACCUACUUCGUGUUACCAACGUAAACCAUCCCGAGCAUCUGGAUAAAGUAAAUGUGAAGACAAGCUCUCUUCUUCAUCAUUUGUAUGCCACUAAGCUCUACAAGCGUGUUGAAAGGACACCAAGAAACUAUUGGACUGGGAAAGACCAAGCAUAAUUAAAUCACUGAGAGACCCACCAUACACUGGUAACUGAAAACUACACUACGAACUACAUUGGGUAAAUGUGGGCCAUCAAAGGCAGUGAGAAACGUUUUUGUCUAUAAGGUACUCCUGAAGGGAAACUAAUGAGGCACCAAAAUCGGAGAGAAAACUUCAGGUGACAAGCAUAAAGCUGAUGUUGCUCCUCUAAGUCAGCAGAGGGCAGCAGAGGACCAAUAUUUUGGAAAGAUUUCACUCUGCUUCUAAUUGUUGAGAGUCGGUGGCUAGAAAGAAGCAACUGUCCUUUAAAAUAUAUGCACGAGGUCAUCUGCGCACUGGUCCAAGCACUGACACUCUUGGGAGUCUGCAAGUGAUUCACAGUGCCCCUGUGAGAAAGCUGGAACUGGCUUAAAAAGGUUGUUCCCUGCUGCAUACCAGUUCAGUCUAGAAAUAGGCAUGCAAUUGGUGGGCAAAGGCUUACUGGCAAAGAGGGCAAAUAUGAAGCACCUGACAUAGAAGAUAGGAGACAUACAGUGUGGUGUUUAAAGGUAAAGAAAAGACUGCACAGUCAGUUAAAGAGCGAUCUGGUAUUAGACAGACAGAACAAAGAUGGAAGGCUUUAUUUUGAAUUAAAUUAUUAAAUUACAAACGCCUAUCUCUUCCCUUCCCAUACCAUAUAUUAUAAAGUUCAUCUGAUUUUUAGAAGAUGCAGAAU
Polypterus senegalus (gray bichir) is the source of this 1599-nucleotide long non-coding RNA. RefSeq lists it as uncharacterized. Lineage: Eukaryota; Metazoa; Chordata; Cladistia; Polypteriformes; Polypteridae. The record is from RefSeq and is a predicted model, not a curated record. The transcript has 3 exons.